Long non-coding RNA from Clupea harengus (Atlantic herring), 1929 nucleotides. Lineage: Eukaryota; Metazoa; Chordata; Actinopteri; Clupeiformes; Clupeidae. The record is from Ensembl.
CAGGAAGUCAUGGUUGACCUCUUAAGAGUUCCUUAUCAAACAGGUGAACUUAAAAAUGUAAAACAUGACUGGAAAUAUACUUCAGUUAUAUUUUAAUUAUAAGAUUUUUCCAGGGGUGCCAAUAAUUGUGGCACACAUGUUUUGGGGAAAAAUAUUUAUUUAAGGUCAACAGUUUUUUUUUCGUUCAAUAAUUUUACUUCAAUGAAAAGGUAAGAUUUUUGUGAAUAUUUUGAGUGAAAGACCAAGAGGAUAAACAGCAAAGACAUAUUUUUCUAUAGCCUGUUUUGCUCAUAUUCACUAGGGGUGCCAAUAAUUGUGGAGGGCACUGUAUAUGCUGUAGAGGGCCACCGGAGGAGUGGAGCCACAAAGAUGUAAAUGUUUAUUAUGCAAUAUCCUGUACAUGAAUGUAAAAUGGUCAGAAUAGGAAAUGUUGAGAAGGGACAAUGAUUUCUUGAUACAAACACCAGGGUCAGUUAAUAGGAUCAGCAGUAAAGCUACACCAAGUAACUGUAAACCUAAGCUAACUGUUACAGUAUUACUGUUGGUAGUAAUGCAAGCUAGCUCAAUGCUAGUAAGUAUGCUGCUAUAAUAUAGCUAGGUUUGGUUUACUGACACCGUGUUCAGUAAAUGGAUGCACACUGUGGGUUCAUACCUUUAAGAAUGUUCUGCAAAUAUAUAGGGAAUGGAGCAUGUUGCCUUUUAGAACAGCUUUGAUUUGCCUCCACGUGGAUGUUUUGGUUCCACUAGACAGAAACUUGCCAAAGUCUGCAUCAUGUAUUGCCCUGUUGUGACAAUGUCCAUAUGAUGGUGGGCCAUUCUUGAACCAAAGAUGAUUUUUGCCUUGAGUCCUGACACUAUUGCAGUUAUUUACACCAAAGGGGCACUGAUAUCAACUACCAUACCCAUGUUUCAUGUUCAUGUUCACACUCACAUGUUAAUAUUUAUUUUUCCUAUGUUCACCUUCAGACUGGCACACCUCUGUAAUCUAUGUCACACAAGCCUUAAGGCUUAGAACUCCCUUCUUAAGCCUGCCUCUCUGUCAUUCAACUGUGUUGACGGAUGAGUGUUUGCAAGAGCAAUCAAUAAGGGAUCAGAACUUUCAACUGGUUAAUUGAUCUGGUUAGUCAGUGCCAUGUAUGGUGACAGUGCCAGAUGUUCCUUAUUUUGCCGCACUGCAAGGCGGCCACAUAAAGGAAGCACCAACCAAAGUCAGCAAUUAUGUUGAUAAUCCGAUCUGCUGAGCCAUUUAUAUUUUGUAGUUUGGACUGACAUUAUUGAUGAUGAUAAUGAUGACAAUGUACUGCUUGUAUUAUUCUACACACAGUCCUGUUACAAUGUAACAAGCCAUUUUUGGGGAGUGCCUACAGGUAUGCAUUUUUUAAAUGUUUGUGAAGGCAACUUUGCACAAAAAAGCCAAAGAGGAAUGAGCACCAGCACCAUUCCAAAUGACCUGUGCACAUACAGUCGUCAUCAGAUAUGUGUACAGUAUAUACACGCAAACAUGCUCAUAUAUAGGCAGAGAAUGACACAUGGCAGCUUCUACCCUCUUUCGUUCCUUCUCAUAGUAGUGAAGGCAGAGCGGACAUGCUGUUAAUCAGAGAUGGAUCCCGAUAAACUGUAGAUGAGUUGAACUUUCAAGUGUGUGGAUUUUUAGGGGAUAGGUUUGCAUGUGAACCAUCUCUGAUCUGUAUUAUUUUUUCAUAAAUAUACCUCGGGCCAGACUGCCUCUUUGAACAUUAUGUUGGGCGAGUGUGUUUGUUUGUUUGUGUAUGUGUGUGUGUGUGUGAUAUUUCCUUUUAUAACAACUAUUACUUUUAUCUUUGUGUGAAAAUGAGAGAUCUGCAAUUGCCAAAUAAACCAUGCCAUUUAUUCAUUUUUCCGGGUGUGCUGUCUUUCACUGUAUGUGUGUGUGUGUGUGUGUGUGUGUGU